Molecule: long non-coding RNA, 319 nt
Filed under: Homo sapiens (human)
Lineage: Eukaryota; Metazoa; Chordata; Mammalia; Primates; Hominidae
Description: HSALNT0057420
Source: RNAcentral
GAUCACACAGCUAGGAAGAUGCAGAAACAAGAUUAGAGCCAAACCAGUCAGUCAACUGUUGGUCUUUUUCACGUUUUACUAAUACUCGUAUAACUAGUAAGUUUCCUGGCAGGUUCCAGUUGGAAAAACUCGAGGGUAACAUCAAAUUUAGCCCUUACAGGGUAAAAAAGAAUAGUCAACAGCAAAAAUCUCUAGUUGAUAUGAUAUUGGUAAUGUACUUCGCUCUUUAUUUUGACUGCAAGACAUCUACUCAAGAUAAUAUAGAAUAAUAUUGCUGUUCCCGGGAUUCAGAUAAAGACCUAAACAGUGCCCAUCAUUC